Molecule: long non-coding RNA, 796 nt
Organism: Apodemus sylvaticus (European woodmouse)
Lineage: Eukaryota; Metazoa; Chordata; Mammalia; Rodentia; Muridae
Exons: 4
Source: RefSeq, a predicted model, not a curated record
AUGACUUGAAGAGGUCCUUCACAUGCUCCGCAGCCUCAUGUGUGAAUGGUGGGCACAGAAACCUUCCUGUCACCUUAAGAACAUGGGAGACAUCUAGGCUGUUUCCAGUUUUUGUCUAUUAUGAAUAGAGAAGCAAUAAAUGUGAUUGAGUAAGUGUCUCUGCAGUUGGAUGAAACAUGGCCUAUACCCAAGUGUAUAGUUGGAUCUUGAGAUGGCCACUUUGCCCUAUUGAUGAUGCUCUUUGCUGUGGAGAUGGUUUUCAAUUUAAUGAGAUCUACUGGAUUAAUUGUCAAUUUCAGUGCCUGAUCUAGCCAUGCUCAGGAUGAUAAGCAUGGGUCUACUUGGAUUUCUCUGCAUGGAGCCAUUAAGUUUUACCAGAACCAUUUGCUGAAGAUUCUGUCUUCUUUCCAGUGUGUAUUUCAGAAUUUAUCAAAAUUCUGGUGUCAAUAGAUGGACUACAAGGAGAAAUACACCCACUGGGUCUUCUAUCGCUCAGAUAUUCAAUUCAGCACCAUCUGCUUCUGCAUCACUGAUUAUCAUCAUAUUAAAUCGACUUUCAAAGACAGAGCCUCUGUUCAGUCCUUUUCCAGAGGGAAUGGGUAUUGCUCACCUGUGAGUCUUCUUGAAAGGGAGGUUCGUUAUGUUUAGCCCUUGGUGAUGGCACACUGCUGGUGUGCAGACUGCUUUCAGAGCAGUAUGGUCCUGCUCUUCUUCCAUACACCUGAGAUACUCUCUUUAAUCUUCCUGAGUAUUUCAAGCUUUAAAUGUUUUCUUUUUUAAAUCUUCUAUUAGAACU